RNAcentral lists this ribosomal RNA (253 nucleotides) under uncultured bacterium. RNAcentral's name for it is "partial 16S ribosomal RNA". It matches the Rfam family "Bacterial small subunit ribosomal RNA", at positions 524 to 776 of the family's 1533-position model. The record is from RNAcentral.
UACGUAGGGGGCAAGCGUUGUCCGGAAUUAUUGGGCGUAAAGAGCGCGUAGGCGGUCCGAUAAGUCGGCUGUGAAAGUCAGGGGCUCAACCCUUGGAAGCCGGCCGAUACUGUCGGACUAGAGUCCGGAAGAGGCGAGUGGAAUUCCCGGUGUAGCGGUGAAAUGCGCAGAUAUCGGGAGGAACACCAGUGGCGAAGGCGGCUACCUGGACCAGCACUGACACUGAGGCACGAAAGCGUGGGGAGCAAACAGG